Molecule: ribosomal RNA, 252 nt
Filed under: uncultured bacterium
Lineage: Bacteria
Description: partial 16S ribosomal RNA
Rfam family: Bacterial small subunit ribosomal RNA
Source: RNAcentral
UACGUAGGGGGCUAGCGUUAUCCGGAUUUACUGGGCGUAAAGGGUGCGUAGGUGGUUUCUUAAGUCAGGAGUGAAAGGCUACGGCUCAACCGUAGUAAGCUCUUGAAACUGGGAAACUUGAGUGCAGGAGAGGAAAGUGGAAUUCCUAGUGUAGCGGUGAAAUGCGUAGAUAUUAGGAGGAACACCAGUAGCGAAGGCGGCUUUCUGGACCGGUACUGACGCUGAGGCGCGAAAGCUAGGGGAGCAAACGGG